GGGAUAACUAUUGGAAACGAUAGCUAAUACCGCAUAAGAGUAGAUGUCGCAUGACAUUUGCUUAAAAGGUGCAAUUGCAUCACUACCAGAUGGACCUGCGUUGUAUUAGCUAGUUGGUGGGGUAACGGCUCACCAAGGCGACGAUACAUAGCCGACCUGAGAGGGUGAUCGGCCACACUGGGACUGAGACACGGCCCAG
Molecule: ribosomal RNA, 199 nt
Filed under: uncultured Streptococcaceae bacterium
Lineage: Bacteria; Bacillati; Bacillota; Bacilli; Lactobacillales; Streptococcaceae
Description: partial 16S ribosomal RNA
Rfam family: Bacterial small subunit ribosomal RNA
Source: RNAcentral